RNAcentral lists this non-coding RNA (23 nucleotides) under Arabidopsis thaliana (thale cress). The record is from RNAcentral. Lineage: Eukaryota; Viridiplantae; Streptophyta; Magnoliopsida; Brassicales; Brassicaceae.
AACAAGGAUAAUGUUGCCAUUAU